Molecule: long non-coding RNA, 91 nt
Organism: Sphaeramia orbicularis (orbiculate cardinalfish)
Lineage: Eukaryota; Metazoa; Chordata; Actinopteri; Kurtiformes; Apogonidae
Exons: 3
Source: RefSeq, a predicted model, not a curated record
AAUAACCCGAACAACCUGGAGUGUCUUAAGAAAAAUAAGUGCAAUUUUAACAACAUUCUACCUGUUUUUAGAUGGUUUUGUGUGUUUUUAG